GACGAACGCUGGCGGCGUGCCUAAUACAUGCAAGUUGAGCGCUGAAGGUUGGUACUUGUACCAACUGGAUGAGCAGCGAACGGGUGAGUAACGCGUGGGGAAUCUGCCUUUGAGCGGGGGACAACAUUUGGAAACGAAUGCUAAUACCGCAUAAAAACUUUAAACACAAGUUUUAAGUUUGAAAGAUGCAAUUGCAUCACUCAAAGAUGAUCCCGCGUUGUAUUAGCUAGUUGGUGAGGUAAAGGCUCACCGAGGCGAUGAUACAUAGCCGACCUGAGAGGGUGAUCGGCCACAUUGGGACUGAGACACCGCCCAAACUCCUACGGGAGGCAGCAGUAGGGAAUCUUCGGCAAUGGACGAAAGUCUGACCGAGCAACGCCGCGUGAGUGAAGAAGGUUUUCGGAUCGUAAAACUCUGUUGGUAGAGAAGAACGUUGGUGAGAGUGGAAAGCUCAUCAAGUGACGGUAACUACCCAGAAAGGGACGGCUAACUACGUG
RNAcentral lists this ribosomal RNA (497 nucleotides) under uncultured bacterium. RNAcentral's name for it is "partial 16S ribosomal RNA". It matches the Rfam family "Bacterial small subunit ribosomal RNA", at positions 28 to 507 of the family's 1533-position model. The record is from RNAcentral.